AAGAAAAAAAAAUUAAUGGAGGUUUAAGGAGCACCUACUUGAAGCUCUUGUGCUCUGAUUACCACUUGAUGGAAGCUUGCUUGUGAAGAUUUUAUAGAGGCUGGAUCUUUGAGCUCCAAUGAGGUCCUUCAAUGGUGAUUUUUCACCAUGGAGAUGCAGCGGAAGGCAAAGGAGAAGAGGAGAGGGGAGGCACCAUCCACUAGGGAAUAAGCCAAGGAAGAAGGAGCUUCACCACCAAGAAUUGC
RNAcentral lists this long non-coding RNA (245 nucleotides) under Glycine max (soybean). Its description in RNAcentral is "long non-coding RNA (GMAX_LNC004538)". Lineage: Eukaryota; Viridiplantae; Streptophyta; Magnoliopsida; Fabales; Fabaceae. The record is from RNAcentral.